GACGAACGCUGGCGGCGUGCUUAACACAUGCAAGUCGAACGGAAAGGCCCCUUUGGGGGUCCUCGAGUGGCGAACGGGUGAGUAACACGUGAGUAACCUGCCCUUGACUUCGGGAUAACUUCAGGAAACUGGGGCUAAUACCGGAUAGGAAUCAUUGCUGCAUGGUGGGGGUUGGAAAGCUUCGGCGGUUUUGGCUGGACUCGCGGCUUAUCAGCUUGUUGGUGGGGUAGUGGCUUACCAAGGCUUUGACGGGUAGCCGGCCUGAGAGGGCGACCGGCCACAUUGGGACUGAGAUACGGCCCAGACUCCUACGGGAGGCAGCAGUGGGGAAUAUUGCACAAUGGGCGGAAGCCUGAUGCAGCAACGCCGCGUGCGGGAUGACGGCCUUCGGGUUGUAAACCGCUUUCAGCAGGGGCGAAGCUUGUGGUGACGGUACCUUCAGAAGAAGCACCGGCUAACUACGUG
This 465-nucleotide ribosomal RNA is filed under the name uncultured bacterium. RNAcentral describes it as "partial 16S ribosomal RNA". It matches the Rfam family "Bacterial small subunit ribosomal RNA", at positions 28 to 507 of the family's 1533-position model. The record is from RNAcentral.